GCUUGUCUCAAAGAUUAAGCCAUGCAUGUCUAAGUAUAAAUCUUUUACUUUGAAACUGCGAACGGCUCAUUAUAUCAGUUAUAGUUUAUUUGAUAGUCCCUUACUACUUGGAUAACCGUAGUAAUUCUAGAGCUAAUACAUGCGUCAAUACCCUUCUGGGGUAGUAUUUAUUAGAUUGAAACCUUCCCCUUUGGGUUGCGUGCCGAGUCACAAUAACUGCUCGAAUCGCAUGGCUUCACGCCGGCGAUGGUUCAUUCAAAUUUCUGCCCUAUCAGCUUUCGAUGGUAGGAUCGAGGCCUACCAUGGCGUUUACGGGUAACGGAGAAUUAGGGUUCGAUUCCGGAGAGGGAGCCUGAGAGAUGGCUACCACAUCCAAGGAAGGCAGCAGG
RNAcentral lists this ribosomal RNA (389 nucleotides) under uncultured Chrysochromulina. Its description in RNAcentral is "partial small subunit ribosomal RNA". It matches the Rfam family "Eukaryotic small subunit ribosomal RNA", at positions 30 to 432 of the family's 1831-position model. The record is from RNAcentral. Lineage: Eukaryota; Haptophyta; Prymnesiales; Chrysochromulinaceae.